CACACACAACAAAAAAAAAGGAACACUUGAGCACCAUCUAUAUAUCCAAUAACCAACAAAGCAUUUUAAUAUACUUGAUUACAAUUAUAUCAACAUACAUAUGAAGAUGAAAGAAGCAAUAUUGUGUUCACUAAUUGUACUAGGAUUUGUAGGAUUCGUGACUAUGCAAAAUAUUAUCCCUUUGAAAUCACUUAUUUGCUAUCAAGCCCAAGAUUUGUUAUCACCAUGCCAACCAUUUUUAUUGGGUUGUAGACAAAAUAUUACAGCAGAAUGUUGUCAAGGUUCUCAAAUUUUGGCUAGUCUUGUAAAAAAUAGUACAAUUGAUGAUAUUAAAGAUUUAUGUAAGUGUCUUCAAAAAAGUGGGAAUUCUUCUAUAAUUGAUGUUAAAAAGGGAAGAAAACUUUUCAAAGUUUGUAAGAUCAAGAGAGUUCCUAUUGGUCCACAAGUGGAUUGUGAUGGUAUUGGACAAUAUAUGGACUCCCAAAUUGGGAUUUGAGAAGGAAGUCCACCAAGCUAAUCUAAGUACUAUUACUUAUAUAUGUGUAUAAAUAUUGUAAACGUAUUUCCUUCCUAGCUACGUUUAAGCCUAAGUAUUGCAUCUUUUGACUUAAUUUUGUGUCAAGAAGAGUGUAUUGUCAGUGCUAUAUAUAUGAAAUAUAUAACAAAUAUUAUGAGUA
This is a long non-coding RNA of Solanum lycopersicum (tomato), 677 nucleotides long. RefSeq lists it as uncharacterized. The record is from RefSeq and is a predicted model, not a curated record. Lineage: Eukaryota; Viridiplantae; Streptophyta; Magnoliopsida; Solanales; Solanaceae.